This 1145-nucleotide long non-coding RNA is filed under the name Cyanistes caeruleus (blue tit). RNAcentral describes it as "lncRNA (ENSCCEG00000010761.1)". The record is from RNAcentral. Lineage: Eukaryota; Metazoa; Chordata; Aves; Passeriformes; Paridae.
GAGAGCUCAGAGGACUCAGAGCUGUGGGAGUAGCAGCUGGGGCCUUCCUGUGGUUGUUUCUUCUGUGGCAGCGGUAAAGCUCUGGUACCCAGCUGGGGUCAGGCAGUGGGCUGAGCAUUCCCCAGCAAAAUGCAGCUGGUUUUCAACCUUCAGGAUCAGGGAUGAGGGUAAGUGCCAGUGACCAUCAAUAUGGAGAUGUCAUUUGGUUUCCCAGGGGUCUGAAAACUCGUGUGAGGAAUCUCCUGCAGCUGAGUCUGGCCUGGCUGGAUUGAGAAACAGCUCUUCCAGGAGGAUUCCAUCAUUCUGAGAGUGAGCGGGGCAGACCCUGAGCACACAACCCUCGACCUUCUUGAGGCUGUUCCCAGGCACUGAUCCUGCCCCCAGCCCAUGCCCUGUGUGUGCAGCUGUCCCUGCAGUGCAGAGGUGUCUGAACAGCUUGGUGUCACUGAGAGCUGCUCUCUGCUUCCCAGCAGGGACAUGGAAUAAGGGACCCUGGAAAGGCUCUUGCUGCUCUCUCAGCAGGAAAAUGAACUUCCCAAUUCUGAGACAUGUUAAGGAACAGCUAAGGAAGAACUGUUGACUCUUAUCCUUUUCUUGUAUUAAAAAUAUCUUUCUGACAACACCAUUAUCAUCUUCCACUGGUGGCCACCUGACAGAUGUUUCUGGAAAAAAAGCUGACUUCUGCCAAUGGCUUCUGCCCUAUGGAGAAAAUCAGAGAAUGACUGAACCUUGCAUCUAGACCUUCUUCAAGUUUUCCCACUGUGCUUCCUGCCUUGUUGACACCAACAAUCCCUGCAGAGACAAUCCUGUACCACCUGUUGGGGUGGCAGUACCAUCCACCUUCAGAGUGAUGAUGUGAGAAAAAACAGUGUUUUUUGAUUGUACCAGUGUGAGAGCUAGAGGUGAUGUCUGAGAGGCUGGAGGGAGUUGACAGAGAGAGUUGGGGUCAUUGUUAUUACUAAUUUCCCCUGGGCCAUGUACAGAACUUGGAGGGGAUUUCUGCUCCACCCUUCACGUGCUUUCCUUUAACACUCACUAAUCUCUCACUAACCUGCCUCUGUACACUGGCUUGCUAUGGGGAUUUUCCCACUCUGGAUACCCACAAAGACCAUUAAUAAAUUGUCACAUCUCAGAGGCUGGCUCCA